This 1349-nucleotide ribosomal RNA is filed under the name uncultured bacterium. RNAcentral describes it as "bacterial SSU rRNA". It matches the Rfam family "Bacterial small subunit ribosomal RNA", at positions 43 to 1387 of the family's 1533-position model. The record is from RNAcentral.
CAGGCUUAACACAUGCAAGUCGAGGGGCAGCAUGGUCUUAUCUUGCUAAGGCCGAUGGCGACCGGCGCACGGGUGAGUAACACGUAUCCAACCUGCCGUCUACUCUUGGACAGCCUUCUGAAAGGAAGAUUAAUACAAGAUGGCAUCAUGACUCCGCAUGUUCACAUGAUUAAAGGUAUUCCGGUAGACGAUGGGGAUGCGUUCCAUUAGAUAGUAGGCGGGGUAACGGCCCACCUAGUCUUCGAUGGAUAGGGGUUCUGAGAGGAAGGUCCCCCACAUUGGAACUGAGACACGGUCCAAACUCCUACGGGAGGCAGCAGUGAGGAAUAUUGGUCAAUGGGCGCAGGCCUGAACCAGCCAAGUAGCGUGAAGGAUGACUGCCCUAUGGGUUGUAAACUUCUUUUAUAAAGGAAUAAAGUCGGGUAUGUAUACCCGUUUGCAUGUACUUUAUGAAUAAGGAUCGGCUAACUCCGUGCCAGCAGCCGCGGUAAUACGGAGGAUCCGAGCGUUAUCCGGAUUUAUUGGGUUUAAAGGGAGCGUAGAUGGAUGUUUAAGUCAGUUGUGAAAGUUUGCGGCUCAACCGUAAAAUUGCAGUUGAUACUGGAUAUCUUGAGUGCAGUUGAGGCAGGCGGAAUUCGUGGUGUAGCGGUGAAAUGCUUAGAUAUCACGAAGAACUCCGAUUGCGAAGGCAGCCUGCUAAGCUGCAACUGACAUUGAGGCUCGAAAGUGUGGGUAUCAAACAGGAUUAGAUACCCUGGUAGCCCACACGGUAAACGAUGAAUACUCGCUGUUUGCGAUAUACAGCAAGCGGCCAAGCGAAAGCGUUAAGUAUUCCACCUGGGGAGUACGCCGGCAACGGUGAAACUCAAAGGAAUUGACGGGGGCCCGCACAAGCGGAGGAACAUGUGGUUUAAUUCGAUGAUACGCGAGGAACCUUACCCGGGCUUAAAUUGCAGAUGAAUUACGGUGAAAGCCGUAAGCCGCAAGGCAUCUGUGAAGGUGCUGCAUGGUUGUCGUCAGCUCGUGCCGUGAGGUGUCGGCUUAAGUGCCAUAACGAGCGCAACCCUUGUUGUCAGUUACUAACAGGUUCCGCUGAGGACUCUGACAAGACUGCCAUCGUAAGAUGUGAGGAAGAUGGGGAUGACGUCAAAUCAGCACGGCCCUUACGUCCGGGGCUACACACGUGUUACAAUGGGGGGUACAGAGGGCCGCUACCACGCGAGUGGAUGCCAAUCCCAAAAACCUCUCUCAGUUCGGACUGGAGUCUGCAACCCGACUCCACGAAGCUGGAUUCGCUAGUAAUCGCGCAUCAGCCACGGCGCGGUGAAUACGUUCCCGGGCCUUGCACA